GCCUCCGUUGUGUAAUUGGAUAACACACCACUUUGCGGAGGUGGCAAUCAGGGUUCGAAUCCCUGCGGAGGCA
This 73-nucleotide transfer RNA is filed under the name Candidatus Aenigmatarchaeota archaeon. Its description in RNAcentral is "tRNA-Arg". It matches the Rfam family "tRNA". From Rfam's summary of the family: Transfer RNA (tRNA) molecules are approximately 80 nucleotides in length. Their secondary structure includes four short double-helical elements and three loops (D, anti-codon, and T loops). Lineage: Archaea; Nanobdellati; Candidatus Aenigmatarchaeota. The record is from RNAcentral.